GAUGAAGAACGCAGCGAAAUGCGAUACUUGGUGUGAAUUGCAGAAUCCCGUGAACCAUCGAGUCUUUGAACGCAAGUUGCGCCCGAAGCCAUUAGGCCGAGGGCACGCCUGCCUGGGCGUCACACGUCGUUGCCCCCCCAUCUACUCCUUCGGGAUUGCGGGGGGCGGAUGAUGGCCUCUCGUGCGCCUCGUCGCGCGGUUGGCCUAAAUGCCAAGUCCUCGGCGACGCACGCCACGACAAUCGGUGGUUGCGAAACCUCGGUUGCCUGUCGUGUGCGGUCAUCGCGCAUCGAGGGCUCGAAAAAAUUGCCGGGCUUCGGCUCGACUUUCAACGCGACCCCAGGUCAGGCGGGGUUACCCGCUGAAUUUAAGCAUAUCAAUAAGCGGAGGA
Molecule: unclassified non-coding RNA, 391 nt
Filed under: soil metagenome
Description: partial contains 5.8S ribosomal RNA, internal transcribed spacer 2, and large subunit ribosomal RNA
Rfam family: 5.8S ribosomal RNA (bases 1-122)
Source: RNAcentral